Molecule: non-coding RNA, 124 nt
Filed under: Neotoma lepida (desert woodrat)
Lineage: Eukaryota; Metazoa; Chordata; Mammalia; Rodentia; Cricetidae
Source: RNAcentral
GUGUUGUAUGAAAGGAGAGAAGUUAGCACUCCCCUUGACAAGGAUGGAAGAGGCCCUUGGGCCUAAGAACACACAUACAGUUAAGGCAUCGCCACUUACUCAUGGCAUCUAAUAAUGGUUAUAA